RNAcentral lists this transfer RNA (69 nucleotides) under Septaria lineata. RNAcentral describes it as "tRNA-Tyr". The record is from RNAcentral. Lineage: Eukaryota; Metazoa; Mollusca; Gastropoda; Cycloneritida; Neritidae.
UGCGAGAUGGCUGAGGAUAUAGGCAGAAGAUUGUAGCUCUUUUUACGGAGCAGUGAGCUUCUCUCGUAA